RNAcentral lists this ribosomal RNA (428 nucleotides) under uncultured delta proteobacterium. Its description in RNAcentral is "partial 16S ribosomal RNA". It matches the Rfam family "Bacterial small subunit ribosomal RNA", at positions 355 to 774 of the family's 1533-position model. The record is from RNAcentral. Lineage: Bacteria; Deltaproteobacteria.
UGAGGAAUUUUGCGCAAUGGGGGCAACCCUGACGCAGCAACGCCGCGUGAGUGACGAAGGCCUUCGGGUUGUAAAGCUCUGUCGACCGGAAAGAAACCUUGGGAGAAUAAUACGUUCCCAAGCUGACGGUACCGGUAAAGGAAGCACCGGCUAACUCCGUGCCAGCAGCCGCGGUAAUACGGAGGGUGCAAGCGUUAUUCGGAAUUAUUGGGUGUAAAGCGCGUGUAGGCGGCUUGGUAUGUCAGAGGUGAAAGCCCGGGGCUUAACUCCGGAAGUGCCUUUGAAACUGCCAGGCUUGAGUCUUGGAGAGGAAGGUGGAAUUCCCAGUGUAGAGGUGAAAUUCGUAGAUAUUGGGAGGAACACCGGUGGCGAAAGCGGCCUUCUGGACGAUGACUGACGCUAAGACGCGAAAGCGUGGGGAGCAAACA